RNAcentral lists this non-coding RNA (23 nucleotides) under Arabidopsis thaliana (thale cress). Lineage: Eukaryota; Viridiplantae; Streptophyta; Magnoliopsida; Brassicales; Brassicaceae. The record is from RNAcentral.
GAAUCUUCAAGAUUGAUGUUUGA